GAUGAAGAACGUAGCGAAAUGCGAUAAAUAAUGUGAAUUGCAGAAUUCAGUGAAUCAUCGAAUCUUUGAACGCACAUUGCGCCCGCCAGUAUUCUGGCGGGCAUGCCUGUCCGAGCGUCAUUUCAACCCUCGAACCCCUCCGGGGGGUCGGCGUUGGGGACCUCGGGAGCCCCUAAGACGGGAUCCCGGCCCCGAAAUACAGUGGCGGUCUCGCCGCAGCCUCUCCUGCGCAGUAGUUUGCACAACUCGCACCGGGAGCGCGGCGCGUCCACGUCCGUAAAACACCCAACUUCUGAAAUGUUGACCUCGGAUCAGGUAGGAAUACCCGCUGAACUUAAGCAUAUCAAUAAGCGGAGGA
RNAcentral lists this unclassified non-coding RNA (358 nucleotides) under soil metagenome. RNAcentral describes it as "partial contains 5.8S ribosomal RNA, internal transcribed spacer 2, and large subunit ribosomal RNA". The stretch from base 1 to 120 matches the Rfam family "5.8S ribosomal RNA", at positions 35 to 154 of the family's 154-position model. The record is from RNAcentral.